RNAcentral lists this long non-coding RNA (1487 nucleotides) under Homo sapiens (human). RNAcentral describes it as "long non-coding RNA NONHSAT151378.1". Lineage: Eukaryota; Metazoa; Chordata; Mammalia; Primates; Hominidae. The record is from RNAcentral.
GCAGCGGCGGCCGCAGCAGCAGCAGCAAGACGGACUCGUGGAGACGCGCCGCCGCCGCCGCCGCCGGGCCGGGCCGGGUGUCGCGCGCCGAGGCUGGGGGGGAGUCGUCGCCGCCGCCGCCACCGCUACCGCCGCCGCCGCCGCCGCCGAGGUGACUGAGGAGAGAGGCGCCUCCUCGCUCCCGCCACCGCCGGACUUCAAUGCCCAGUCCCCAGCUCGCCAGCGUUUUUCGUUGGAAUAUACGUUGCACAUUUAUGGCGAUUCUGAGUGUGAGGGCAGACUUCUGCCAGGCUCAGCACAGCAUUUUCGCUGACAAGUGAGCUUGGAGGUUCUAUGUGCCAUAAUUAACAUUGCCUUGAAGACUCCUGGACACCGAGACUGGCCUCAGAAAUAGUUGGCUUUUUUUUUUUUUAAUUGCAAGCAUAUUUCUUUUAAUGACUCCAGUAAAAUUAAGCAUCAAGUAAACAAGUGGAAAGUGACCUACACUUUUAACUUGUCUCACUAGUGCCUAAAUGUAGUAAAGGCUGCUUAAGUUUUGUAUGUAGUUGGAUUUUUUGGAGUCCGAAGGUAUCCAUCUGCAGAAAUUGAGGCCCAAAUUGAAUUUGGAUUCAAGUGGAUUCUAAAUACUUUGCUUAUCUUGAAGAGAGAAGCUUCAUAAGGAAUAAACAAGUUGAAUAGAGAAAACACUGAUUGAUAAUAGGCAUUUUAGUGGUCUUUUUAAUGUUUUCUGCUGUGAAACAUUUCAAGAUUUAUUGAUUUUUUUUUUUCACUUUCCCCAUCACACUCACACGCACGCUCACACUUUUUAUUUGCCAUAAUGAACCGUCCAGCCCCUGUGGAGAUCUCCUAUGAGAACAUGCGUUUUCUGAUAACUCACAACCCUACCAAUGCUACUCUCAACAAGUUCACAGAGGUAAGAUUUAUGGAGUGACGACUUUGGUUCGAGUUUGUGAUGCUACAUAUGAUAAAGCUCCAGUUGAAAAAGAAGGAAUCCACGUUCUAGAUUGGCCAUUUGAUGAUGGAGCUCCACCCCCUAAUCAGAUAGUAGAUGAUUGGUUAAACCUGUUAAAAACCAAAUUUCGUGAAGAGCCAGGUUGCUGUGUUGCAGUGCAUUGUGUUGCAGGAUUGGGAAGGGCACCUGUGCUGGUUGCACUUGCUUUGAUUGAAUGUGGAAUGAAGUACGAAGAUGCAGUUCAGUUUAUAAGACAAAGGGGAGCGUUCAAUUCCAAACAGCUGCUUUAUUUGGAGAAAUACCGACCUAAGAUGCGAUUACGCUUCAGAGAUACCAAUGGGCAUUGCUGUGUUCAGUAGAAGGAAAUGUAAACGAAGGCUGACUUGAUUGUGCCAUUUAGAGGGAACUCUUGGUACCUGGAAAUGUGAAUCUGGAAUAUUACCUGUGUCAUCAAAGUAGUGAUGGAUUCAGUACUCCUCAACCACUCUCCUAAUGAUUGGAACAAAAGCAAACAAAAAAGAAAUCUCUCUAUAAA